Molecule: ribosomal RNA, 315 nt
Filed under: uncultured eukaryote
Lineage: Eukaryota
Description: partial 18S ribosomal RNA
Rfam family: Eukaryotic small subunit ribosomal RNA
Source: RNAcentral
UCCUUAGAUGUUCUGGGCUGCACGCGCGCUACACUGACGCACGCAACAGGUGCCUGCUCCGAGAGGACUGGGUAAUCAUUUGAGUGUGCGUCGUGAUGGGGAUAGAAUAUUGUAAUUAUUACUCUUCAACGAGGAAUUCCUAGUAAGCGCAAGUCAGCAGCUUGCGCUGAUUACGUCCCUGCCCUUUGUACACACCGCCCGUCGCUCCUACCGAUGGGUGAUCCGGUGAAUGAUUCGGACUUCAGCGGCUCCUCUGGGGUGCGCCGGAGAAAGUUUUGUGAACCUUAUCACUUGGAGGAAGGAGAAGUCGUAACA